AACGAACGCUGGCGGCAGGCUUAACACAUGCAAGUCGAGCGCCUCGCAAGAGGAGUGGCAGACGGGUGAGUAACGCGUGGGAACGUACCCUUAUCUUCGGAAUAGCUCUGGGAAACUGGAAGUAAUACCGAAUGUGCCCUUAGGGGGAAAGAUUUAUCGGAUAAGGAUCGGCCCGCGUUGGAUUAGCUAGUUGGUGGGGUAAAGGCCUACCAAGGCGACGAUCCAUAGCUGGUCUGAGAGGAUGAUCAGCCACAUUGGGACUGAGACACGGCCCAAACUCCUACGGGAGGCAGCAGUGGGGAAUAUUGGACAAUGGGCGCAAGCCUGAUCCAGCCAUGCCGCGUGAGUGAUGAAGGCCUUAGGGUUGUAAAGCUCUUUCACCGGAGAAGAUAAUGACGGUAUCCGGAGAAGAAGCCCCGGCUAACUUCGUG
RNAcentral lists this ribosomal RNA (431 nucleotides) under uncultured bacterium. RNAcentral describes it as "partial 16S ribosomal RNA". It matches the Rfam family "Bacterial small subunit ribosomal RNA", at positions 29 to 507 of the family's 1533-position model. The record is from RNAcentral.